RNAcentral lists this transfer RNA (77 nucleotides) under Nocardiopsaceae bacterium. RNAcentral's name for it is "tRNA-Ile". Lineage: Bacteria; Bacillati; Actinomycetota; Actinomycetes; Streptosporangiales; Nocardiopsidaceae. The record is from RNAcentral.
GGGCAACGACUCAGCCGGUGAAGAGGCCGCUCUGAUAAGGCGGUAGUAGCCAGGUUCAACACCUGGGUUGCCCACCA